This 483-nucleotide ribosomal RNA is filed under the name Triticum aestivum (bread wheat). Its description in RNAcentral is "partial small subunit ribosomal RNA". Lineage: Eukaryota; Viridiplantae; Streptophyta; Magnoliopsida; Poales; Poaceae. The record is from RNAcentral.
AUGCUCAAUUGGGCAAGCAAGGCUGAGCUACAUGCUAGGGUUCCUCUGGGCAAGCUGCUGGAUCGGGGCGCCACUUUCUCCUCAGGCUCAAAGUUGUUCGUCGGGGGUCUGUCCUACAAUUCGAAUGAAGUUGCUCUCAAGGACGCCUUCUCUCAGCAUGGCGAUGUUAUCCAAGGUGCUGAUGGAAAGAAAAUACGGGUGAAUUAUGCAAACAGCGGACAAUCUGCUGCUGUUUCUGCUGCUGCUGCUGCUGCAGAUGAGUGUAACACAGGACUAGUUCACACACUCAAGCAAAUGACAGUCAUUCAUCAAGCUGCAUCCGAAUUUUCUAGGCCCUUCACAAUAAUCCUUGAGAACCAAAAGUAUCAUGGAAUGCUGACGCUGAGUGCCCUCAUUAGCGGCACUUUUACUUUUGGCAGGCUGUCACCUCCUUAUGCUGAUUCUUUUCUGAUUUCCUCCAUUCAAGAUUUUUUUCCUCACUAA